GCUGGUGUAGCUCAACAGGCAGAGCAGCUGAUUUGUAAUCAGCAGGUCGCGGGUUCGAAUCCCAUCACCAGCUCCA
This 76-nucleotide transfer RNA is filed under the name Clostridiales bacterium. Its description in RNAcentral is "tRNA-Thr". It matches the Rfam family "tRNA". From Rfam's summary of the family: Transfer RNA (tRNA) molecules are approximately 80 nucleotides in length. Their secondary structure includes four short double-helical elements and three loops (D, anti-codon, and T loops). RNAcentral also lists the same sequence under 1 other name. Lineage: Bacteria; Bacillati; Bacillota; Clostridia; Eubacteriales. The record is from RNAcentral.